AUACGGAGGGCGCAAGCGUUGUUCGGAAUCAUUGGGCGUAAAGCGCGUGUAGGCGGCUUGGUAAGUCGGGUGUGAAAUCCCGGGGCUCAACCCCGGAACUGCACUCGAAACUGCCUCGCUGGAGUCCCGGAGAGGAGAGCGGAAUUCCCGGUGUAGAGGUGAAAUUCGUAGAUAUCGGGAGGAACACCAGCGGCGAAGGCGGCUCUCUGGACGGUGACUGACGCUGAGGUGCGAAAGCGUGGGGAGCAAACAGGAUUAGAAACCCCGGUAGUCC
This 274-nucleotide ribosomal RNA is filed under the name uncultured bacterium. Its description in RNAcentral is "partial 16S ribosomal RNA". It matches the Rfam family "Bacterial small subunit ribosomal RNA", at positions 523 to 796 of the family's 1533-position model. The record is from RNAcentral.